UACGUAGGGUGCAAGCGUUGUCCGGAAUUAUUGGGCGUAAAGAGCUCGUAGGCGGUCUGUCGCGUCUGCUGUGAAAACCUGGGGCUUAACCCCGGGCCUGCAGUGGGUACGGGCAGACUAGAGUGCGGUAGGGGAGACUGGAAUUCCUGGUGUAGCGGUGAAAUGCGCAGAUAUCAGGAGGAACACCGGUGGCGAAGGCGGCUCACUGGCCCGGUACUGACGCUGAGGUGCGAAAGCGUGGGGAGCAAACAGG
RNAcentral lists this ribosomal RNA (253 nucleotides) under uncultured bacterium. RNAcentral describes it as "partial 16S ribosomal RNA". It matches the Rfam family "Bacterial small subunit ribosomal RNA", at positions 524 to 776 of the family's 1533-position model. The record is from RNAcentral.